Armigeres subalbatus is the source of this 347-nucleotide long non-coding RNA. RefSeq lists it as uncharacterized. The transcript has 3 exons. Lineage: Eukaryota; Metazoa; Arthropoda; Insecta; Diptera; Culicidae. The record is from RefSeq and is a predicted model, not a curated record.
AAAAAACACUUUGCAAAUCAAUCAGUCAGGAAGCAUGUUCCGCAGAGUGUUUGCUGGAAAAUAUUUAGUUAUCUGGAAUUAAAUACAUAAGGCCUUCGGGAAAACCAACCAAUUUCACGGCGGAAGUUUGGCACGAAGACGAGUUGAGAGAGCAACUGAGAAGCAGUAUCAUGAAAAAAUGUUUUUUUCUCCGAGGUCCAGCCGUAAAUCCUUUUGGAUUACUUGGGAAUGUGCAUACAGGCCAAGAAUAUGUAUGCAACAUGAGGGACCAGAUGCAGCCGUUGCGGCAGAUAUUCUAUACCACUGACGUGACGGUUGGGCAAGUUCCGGACAUUUUUAUCUUACGU